UACACAUUUGGUGCAUAUAAGAGUUGGGU
Molecule: non-coding RNA, 29 nt
Filed under: Homo sapiens (human)
Lineage: Eukaryota; Metazoa; Chordata; Mammalia; Primates; Hominidae
Source: RNAcentral